AGGCCUAACACAUGCAAGUCGAGCGGUAGAGAGGUGCUUGCAUCUCUUGAGAGCGGCGGACGGGUGAGUAUGCCUAGGAAUCUGCCUAGUGGUGGGGGAUAACGUUCGGAAACGGACGCUAAUACCGCAUACGUCCUACGGGAGAAAGCGGGGGGAUCUUCGGACUCGCGCCAUUAGAUGAGCCUAGGUCGGAUUAGCUAGUUGGUGAGGUAAUGGCUCACCAAGGCGACGAUCCGUAACUGGUCUGAGAGGAUGAUCAGUCACACUGGAACUGAGACACGGUCCAGACUCCUACGGGAGGCAGCAGUGGGGAAUAUUGGACAAUGGGCGAAAGCCUGAUCCAGCCAUGCCGCGUGUGUGAAGAAGGUCUUCGGAUUGUAAAGCACUUUAAGUUGGGAGGAAGGGUAGUAACCUAAUACGUUGCUACUUUGACGUUACCGACAGAAUAAGCACCGGCUAACUUCGUG
Molecule: ribosomal RNA, 467 nt
Filed under: uncultured bacterium
Lineage: Bacteria
Description: bacterial SSU rRNA
Rfam family: Bacterial small subunit ribosomal RNA
Source: RNAcentral